AGAGAAGCAGUAAAGCGAAUGUCUCGCUCCCAUGUAUUUGGAGAUUAGUUACAAUUGUGUGAACAAGUUGCUGAGCAAUAAGGAAGAAAGAGUAAUUCUUCUCUCACAAAGGAAUGCUGAGCCAUCCCAGCUCAUUUAUUUAUUAAACACACACUUAAAUAAUGUUUAUUGAAUGCCAGAACAAAGAAGAUACAUUAAACACACCUCGGAUACAUUUUCAUCAAAAUUUCAGAGAUAUUCAGUUGCAAAUGAGCAGGUGAACAUGACCGUGAUGUCAGCUUGGAUAAUCAAGACAACCAUUUUUUAAAUUUCUCCUCAUCCAUGCAUUCCCCAACCAGUCCACCCAGAAUUCCAUCCUCACCACUUCACUGAAACAGCUCUCAGUUGCCCAAGCCAAUGGACAUGUUUCAGAUCCUGAGAAUACAAGACAAACGAUCAGCACUAAGCUUGAAGAACUUGUCAACUCCUGGGAAAGAGACGCAGGGGUUUAUAGGAAAUACAAGGGAUGGAAGAGCUGGUUAAACAAUACCAUGAAGAAGCCAGCAGAGGAAUCCAGAAUGUGGAACCUUCUACAAUAUACCUGAUCCAUCUUGUCAACAAGUCAAUGGCAUGAGGAAAAAAUGGCAUCUGUGUGUCGAUGGGAGAGAAACUGUUGAUGAUGAUUAGAGUCUAAGGGUACAGAACAAACCAAUGCAACCUGUGGAACAUUUUUGGAUCCUGAUUAAAACGAACCAACUGCAAACAUUGGGGGGAUGGUUGCGGGGAAAUUAGAAUAUUGGAUGAUAUUAAGGAAUUGCUACAUUUUCUUAAGUGUGAUAUUAGCA
This 824-nucleotide long non-coding RNA is filed under the name Equus caballus (horse). RNAcentral describes it as "lncRNA (ENSECAG00000038059.2)". The record is from RNAcentral. Lineage: Eukaryota; Metazoa; Chordata; Mammalia; Perissodactyla; Equidae.